AUUGAACGCUGGCGGCAGGCCUAACACAUGCAAGUCGAAUGGUAACAGGAAACAGCUUGCUGUUUCGCUGACGAGUGGCGGACGGGUGAGUCAUGUCUGGGAAACUGCCUGAUGGAGGGGGAUAACUACUGGAAACGGUAGCUAAUACCGCAUAACGUCGCAAGACUAAAGAGGGGGACCUUCGGGCCUCUUGCCAUCAUAUGUGCCCAGAUGGGAUUAGCUAGUAGGGGGGGUAACGGCUCACCUAGGCGACGAUCCGUAGCUGGUCUGAGAGGAUGAGCGGCCGCACUGGAGAUGGAACACGGUCCAGACUCCUACGGGAGGGAGCAGUGGGGUAUAGUGGACAGUGGGCGGAAGCCUGGUGCAGCCAUGCCGCGUGUAUGAAAGAGGCCUUGGGGUUGUAAAGUACUUUCAGGGGGGAGGAAGGGAGUAAGGUUAAUACCUUUGGUCAUUGACGUUACCCGCUGAAGAAGCACCGGCUAACUCCGUG
RNAcentral lists this ribosomal RNA (490 nucleotides) under uncultured bacterium. RNAcentral's name for it is "partial 16S ribosomal RNA". It matches the Rfam family "Bacterial small subunit ribosomal RNA", at positions 30 to 507 of the family's 1533-position model. The record is from RNAcentral.